UAGGGAAUCUUCCACAAUGGACGCAAGUCUGAUGGAGCAACGCCGCGUGAGUGAAGAAGGGUUUCGGCUCGUAAAGCUCUGUUGUUAAAGAAGAACGUGGGUAAGAGUAACUGUUCAGGUAUUGACGGUAUUUAACCAGAAAGCCACGGCUAACUACGUGCCAA
This 164-nucleotide ribosomal RNA is filed under the name uncultured bacterium. RNAcentral describes it as "partial 16S ribosomal RNA". It matches the Rfam family "Bacterial small subunit ribosomal RNA", at positions 355 to 511 of the family's 1533-position model. The record is from RNAcentral.